Molecule: non-coding RNA, 99 nt
Organism: Brachypodium distachyon (stiff brome)
Lineage: Eukaryota; Viridiplantae; Streptophyta; Magnoliopsida; Poales; Poaceae
Source: Rfam
UUGAUGGACAUGAGGAGACACUAUGUUUUACGGGCAAUUUGUGUCUGAGGCGUUUCUUUGAUGUCAAACUCUUUUCACCUUGGAGGUCUGAUGCGUCCG